This is a transfer RNA of Camelus ferus (Wild Bactrian camel), 73 nucleotides long. It matches the Rfam family "tRNA". From Rfam's summary of the family: Transfer RNA (tRNA) molecules are approximately 80 nucleotides in length. Their secondary structure includes four short double-helical elements and three loops (D, anti-codon, and T loops). Further hydrogen bonds mediate the characteristic L-shaped molecular structure. tRNAs have two regions of fundamental functional importance: the anti-codon, which is responsible for specific mRNA codon recognition, and the 3' end, to which the tRNAs corresponding amino acid is attached (by aminoacyl-tRNA synthetases). tRNAs cope with the degeneracy of the genetic code in two manners: having more than one tRNA (with a specific anti-codon) for a particular amino acid; and 'wobble' base-pairing, i.e. permitting non-standard base-pairing at the 3rd anti-codon position. NCBI's taxonomy places the organism in Eukaryota, Metazoa, Chordata, Mammalia, Artiodactyla, Camelidae. The record is from Rfam.
GAUGGUAUAGUUCAAGUGGUAGAGCGCAUGCUUAGCAUAUACAAGGUCCUGGGUUCGAUCCCCAGUACCUCCU